RNAcentral lists this long non-coding RNA (409 nucleotides) under Rhinopithecus bieti (black snub-nosed monkey). Its description in RNAcentral is "lncRNA (ENSRBIG00000045067.1)". The record is from RNAcentral. Lineage: Eukaryota; Metazoa; Chordata; Mammalia; Primates; Cercopithecidae.
GGGUAUCUCACAUGUGCAUCUGCAAGCCUGGGAGAGAUUUCCUCACCUCACUUCCCAGUGCACCUCAAUGGGCCAAAAUGCCACUGGGUACUGUCAUCCUCACCUGUAGAAAGGGGGAUACUCAGGGACAGGAAGGCUGUCACAGAUGAGAGCUCCUCUUUGUGGAUGGUCGCUAUCAGAGCCCGAGAGACGCCAGGCAUCCUCGCCCAGAGGAUUUGCUCCGCCCCGAAAGGGGCACGGUGGCGACCCACGCAGGGGUCUCUUCCAAGAUGCUCUCAAGCUUCAGCAUCGCUGCUGGCUGCUGGCUGUGGCAACACCGCUGUGCUCACCUUUGACAGAGCUCUCCUGACCAGAAAGGGGGAUGCACAGGAGGAAGACGAUAACAAGUGAGAGCACACUCCCACCACCA